GAUCAACGCUGGCGGCGUGCUUAACACAUGCAAGUCGAACGAAGUUUUUCCUUCGGGAGAAACUUAGUGGCGGACGGGUGAGUAACGCGUGGGUAACCUGCCCUGUACAGGGGGACAACAGCUGUAAACGGCUGCUAAUACCGCAUAAGCCCUUAGCACUGCAUGGUGCAUAGGGAAAAGGAGCAAUCCGGUACAGGAUGGACCCGCGUCUGAUUAGCCAGUUGGCAGGGUAACGGCCUACCAAAGCGACGAUCAGUAGCCGAUCUGAGAGGAUGUACGGCCACAUUGGGACUGAGACACGGCCCAGACUCCUACGGGAGGCAGCAGUGGGGAAUAUUGCACAAUGGAGGAAACUCUGAUGCAGCGACGCCGCGUGAGUGAAGAAGUAUUUCGGUAUGUAAAGCUCUAUCAGCAGGGAAGAAAAUGACGGUACCUGACUAAGAAACACCGGCUAAAUACGU
Molecule: ribosomal RNA, 461 nt
Filed under: uncultured bacterium
Lineage: Bacteria
Description: partial 16S ribosomal RNA
Rfam family: Bacterial small subunit ribosomal RNA
Source: RNAcentral